GACGAACCGUGCAAACGUUGUUCGGAAUCACUGGGCUUAAAGGGCGCGUAGGCGGACCACCAAGUCAGGGGUGAAAUCCUGCGGCUCAACCGUAGAAGUGCCUUUGAUACUGGUGGUCUCGAGGGAGGUAGGGGCGUGCGGAACUUCCGGUGGAGCGGUGAAAUGCGUAGAUAUCGGAAGGAACACCGGUGGCGAAAGCGGCGCGCUGGACCUCUUCUGACGCUGAGGCGCGAAAGCCAGGGGAGCGAACGGG
Molecule: ribosomal RNA, 253 nt
Filed under: uncultured bacterium
Lineage: Bacteria
Description: partial 16S ribosomal RNA
Rfam family: Bacterial small subunit ribosomal RNA
Source: RNAcentral